GUACACUCCUACGGGAGGCAGCAGUGGGGAAUUUUGGACAAUGGGCGAAAGCCUGAUCCAGCAAUGCCGCGUGUGUGAAGACGGCCUUCGGGUUGUAAAGCACUUUUGUCCGGAAAGAAAUCCUUGGCUCUAAUACAGUCGGGGGAUGACGGUACCGGAAGAAUAAGCACCGGCUAACUACGUGCCAGCAGCCGCGGUAAUACGUAGGGUGCGAGCGUUAAUCGGAAUUACUGGGCGUAAAGCGUGCGCAGGCGGUUUGCUAAGACCGAUGUGAAAUCCCCGGGCUCAACCUGGGAACUGCAUUGGUGACUGGCAGGCUAGAGUAUGGCAGAGGGGGGUAGAAUUCCACGUGUAGCAGUGAAAUGCGUAGAGAUGUGGAGGAAUACCGAUGGCGAAGGCAGCCCCCUGGGCCAAUACUGACGCUCAUGCACGAAAGCGUGGGGAGCAAACAGGAUUAGAUACCCGAGUAGUCCCAUGA
This 478-nucleotide ribosomal RNA is filed under the name uncultured organism. RNAcentral describes it as "partial 16S ribosomal RNA". It matches the Rfam family "Bacterial small subunit ribosomal RNA", at positions 331 to 800 of the family's 1533-position model. The record is from RNAcentral.